RNAcentral lists this ribosomal RNA (454 nucleotides) under uncultured bacterium. RNAcentral's name for it is "bacterial SSU rRNA". It matches the Rfam family "Bacterial small subunit ribosomal RNA", at positions 335 to 780 of the family's 1533-position model. The record is from RNAcentral.
ACUCCUACGGGAGGCAGCAGUGGGGAAUAUUGUACAAUGGGGGAAACCCUGAUGCAGCCAUGCCGCGUGUGUGAAGAAGGCCUUCGGGUUGUAAAGCACUUUCAGUAGGGAGGAAGGUAGUGUAGUUAACACCUGCAUUAUUUGACGUUACCUACAGAAGAAGCACCGGCUAACUCCGUGCCAGCAGCCGCGGUAAUACGGAGGGUGCGAGCGUUAAUCGGAAUUACUGGGCGUAAAGCGCAUGCAGGCGGCCUGUUAAGUCAGAUGUGAAAGCCCGGGGCUUAACCUCGGAAUUGCAUUUGAAACUGGUAGGCUAGAGUCUUGUAGAGGGGGGUAGAAUUUCAGGUGUAGCGGUGGAAAUGCGUAGAGAUCUGAAGGAAUACCAGUGGCGAAGGCGGCCCCCUGGACAAAGACUGACGCUCAGAUGCGAAAGCGUGGGGAGCAAACAGGAUUA